AUGAACGCUAGCUACAGGCUUAACACAUGCAAGUCGAGGGGAAACGACAUCGAAAGCUUGCUUUUGAUGGGCGUCGACCGGCGCACGGGUGAGUAACGCGUAUCCAGCCUGCCCAUCACUUGGGAAUAACCUUGCGAAAGUAAGACUAAUACCCAAUGAUAUCCCACGAAGGCAUCGGAAUGGGAUUAAAGAUUUAUCGGUGAUGGAUGGGGAUGCGUCUGAUUAGCUUGUUGGCGGGGUAACGGCCCACCAAGGCAACGAUCAGUAGGGGUUCUGAGAGGAAGGUCCCCCACAUUGGAACUGAGACACGGUCCAAACUCCUACGGGAGGCAGCAGUGAGGAAUAUUGGUCAAUGGGCGAGAGCCUGAACCAGUCAAGUAGCGUGCAGGAAGACGGCCCUAUGGGUUGUAAACUGCUUUUAGAAGGGAAUAAAGUGGGUCACGUGUGACUUUUUGCAUGUACCUUAUGAAUAAGGACCGGCUAAUUCCGUG
This 491-nucleotide ribosomal RNA is filed under the name uncultured bacterium. RNAcentral describes it as "partial 16S ribosomal RNA". It matches the Rfam family "Bacterial small subunit ribosomal RNA", at positions 29 to 507 of the family's 1533-position model. The record is from RNAcentral.